Non-coding RNA from Cinara cedri, 645 nucleotides. NCBI's taxonomy places the organism in Eukaryota, Metazoa, Arthropoda, Insecta, Hemiptera, Aphididae. The record is from the annotation of a GenBank genome assembly.
GGCUUUGCUAAUUUAUGACCUCGUUUUUUUCCACGUUGCCAUGUCACCCUAUAUUAUCAUUACGAUUAAGUAUAACAAAUAUAAUAUGAAUAAAAGUUAUAUAAUAAUAUUUUACUGGAUUAUUUUACAAUUUGGCCAGGAAUGGUUUCCCCGUGCAGGCUUCUAUAGUAUUAUAGUACCUACCUAUAUGAUAAUAUAUGAUAAUAUAUGGACAUAAUAUGUAUACAAUACAUAUAUUAUACGUUCAUAAAUUAAUUAAACAAAAAAUAAAAAUACAUAUUUAGUAUUUAUACUUAAUGAAUUAAUUACAAAUAUUAACUACAGUAUAAUUAAUGAACUAACAAAAGAAACAAUUUAUUGAAAUUGGUUUACAGCAGAUGAAGGGUUUUGUCCCUUUUAAUUUCGCUUUCGGCGCAGAUGAUACUUAACGCCUAAUGUUUUAUUUUUCGCGUUCUUCUUCCUCUCGCUUUAAAUGCACUUGGCGGACAUAUCUCUUUACUGCUUCCCAGUUGUUUCUAGACUUGAGUAUGUUGUCGACCACAGUAUUAGGCUCGAAGACACAUCCAAUACAUUCCUUAAGUUCUUUUCGGUGUCGCCACUAGCGAUCGCAUCGGAAUAUGGCGUGUUCCGUAUCGUUAAUAUCUG